Molecule: ribosomal RNA, 945 nt
Filed under: uncultured bacterium
Lineage: Bacteria
Description: bacterial SSU rRNA
Rfam family: Bacterial small subunit ribosomal RNA
Source: RNAcentral
AGGCAUGCAAGUCGAACGAGUCUCUGGGGGGUAACUCCUAGAGGAAAGUGGCGAAAGGGGCAGUAAUGUAUGGGUAACCUACCUUGAGGUCCGGGAUAGCCAUUCUAACGGAUGGGUAAUACUGGACGGCCUGAGUUGUCGGCAUCGAUAAUUUAGUAAAGGUUACGCCUCGAGAGGGGCCCAUAUGAUAUUAGCUAGUUGGUGAGGUAAUGGCUCACCAAGGCAAAGAUGUCUAGCGGGUGUGAGAGCACGACCCGCGUCAUUGGCACUGAGACACUGGCCAAACUCCUACGGGAGGCUGCAGUCGAGGAUCUUCGGCAAUGGACGAAAGUCUGACCGAGCAACGCCGCGUGUGCGAUGAAGGCCUUCGGGUUGUAAAGCACUGUCGAGGGGAAACAAGCCGUAAGGUUGAGUGACCCCUGGAGGAAGCACGGGCUAAGUUCGUGCCAGCAGCCGCGGUAAGACGAACCGUGCAAACGUUAUUCGGAAUCACUGGGCUUAAAGGGCGCGUAGGCGGGUGAUCAAGUCAAUGGUGAAAUCCUCCAGCUUAACUGGAGAAGUGCCUUUGAUACUGAUUGUCUAGAGGGAGGUAGGGGCAUGUGGAACUUCAGGUGGAGCGGUGAAAUGCGUAGAUAUCUGAAGGAACGCCAGUGGCGAAAGCGAUGUGCUGGACCUCUUCUGACGCUGAGGCGCGAAAGCUAGGGGAUCAAACGGGAUUAGAUACCCCGGUAGUCCUAGCCCUAAACUAUGGGUACUAGAUUGUGGACUUUCAUGGGUUCACAGUCGAAGCAAAAGUGUUAAGUACCCCGCCUGGGGAGUAUGGUCGCAAGGCUGAAACUCAAGGAUUGACGGGGGCUCACACAGCGUGAGCAUGUGCUAUCGAGCUACGCGAGAUCUAUCUGAUGACAUAUGUGAAACCGUAGAGUAUGCGAACGCAUGACGAUC